This 246-nucleotide unclassified non-coding RNA is filed under the name uncultured Gammaproteobacteria bacterium. Its description in RNAcentral is "contains 16S-23S intergenic spacer region". Lineage: Bacteria; Pseudomonadati; Pseudomonadota; Gammaproteobacteria. The record is from RNAcentral.
UGCCUUUGACAUCCUCGGAAUCCCGCAUCUCUGCGGGAUUCCGAGGAUGUCAAAGGCAGGUAAGGUUCUUCGCGUUGCAUCGAAUUAAACCACAUGCUCCACCGCUUGUGCGGGCCCCCGUCAAUUCCUUUGAGUUUUAACCUUGCGGCCGUACUCCCCAGGCGGAGAACUUAUCGCGUUAGCUGCGCCACUAAGGGUUUCAAAUACCCCCAACGGCUAGUUCUCAUCGUUUAGGGCGUGGACUAC